RNAcentral lists this ribosomal RNA (429 nucleotides) under Chloroflexota bacterium. RNAcentral's name for it is "Chloroflexi bacterium partial 16S ribosomal RNA". It matches the Rfam family "Bacterial small subunit ribosomal RNA", at positions 355 to 776 of the family's 1533-position model. Lineage: Bacteria; Bacillati; Chloroflexota. The record is from RNAcentral.
UGGGGAAUAUUGCACAAUGGGCGCAAGCCUGAUGCAGCCAUGCCGCGUGUGUGAAGAAGGCCUUCGGGUUGUAAAGCACUUUCAGCGGGGAGGAAGGCGAUAAGGUUAAUAACCUUGUCGAUUGACGUUACCCGCAGAAGAAGCACCGGCUAACUCCGUGCCAGCAGCCGCGGUAAUACGGAGGGUGCAAGCGUUAAUCGGAAUUACUGGGCGUAAAGCGCACGCAGGCGGUCUGUCAAGUCGGAUGUGAAAUCCCCGGGCUCAACCUGGGAACUGCAUUCGAAACUGGCAGGCUAGAGUCUUGUAGAGGGGGGUAGAAUUCCAGGUGUAGCGGUGAAAUGCGUAGAGAUCUGGAGGAACACCGGUGGCGAAGGCGGCCCCCUGGACAAAGACUGACGCUCAGGUGCGAAAGCGUGGGGAGCAAACAGG